This 432-nucleotide long non-coding RNA is filed under the name Populus trichocarpa (black cottonwood). RNAcentral describes it as "long non-coding RNA (PTRI_LNC004520)". The record is from RNAcentral. Lineage: Eukaryota; Viridiplantae; Streptophyta; Magnoliopsida; Malpighiales; Salicaceae.
UGAUCAACUGUAACAUACUGAUGCCUUCCUUCCACUAUUAUCACUUACAAAUAAAUAAGUUCUCUAACGAAACCAUAAAAUAGUUAGAAUUUCUUUACAAUUGGUGAGUAGUAAUUUAAUGAAAUUCAGAAGAAAAAAAUUAUAAUUUUGCGUCCUAAAAAUGGAAAAGAAUCCAUAAAAAAAGUACCUGUUGUGUAGGAGCCGAAAGAGAGAUCUGUUUCUGUGUUUUGUGAAGGAACUGACGGACGAAGAGGAAGAUCUUAAUUAAUGGAAGAGAAUGAGAGAGCGAGGAAUGCGGAGGAUAGGAGUGUUAAUUAAAGUCAAGUGUGGGUCGCAACCUAUCUUUGUUUUCCUUUCGAUCUAAUCUUCGUUUCGCACUAGUUUACCAGGGGACUUUUCCAUCGUGUAGACCGUUUGGAAUUUGGAAUUGCG